GUAAACGGCGGCCGUAACUAUAACGGUCCUAAGGUAGCGAAAUUCCUUGUCGGGUAAGUUCCGACCUGCACGAAUGGCGUAAUGAUGGCCAGGCUGUCUCCACCCGGGACUCAGUGAAAUUGAACUCGCUGUGAAGAUGCAGUGUACCCGCGGCAAGACGGAAAGACCCCGUGAACCUUUACUAUAGCUUGACACUGAACACUGGUCCUUGAUGUGCAGGAUAGGUGGGAGGCUUUGAAGUGUGGACGCCAGUCUGCAUGGAGCCAUCCUUGAAAUACCACCCUUUAAUGGCUGGUGUUCUAACGUGGGCCCGUGAACCGGGUUGCGGACAGUGUCUGGUGGGUAGUUUGACUGGGGCGGUCUCCUCCUAAAGAGUAACGGAGGAGCACGAAGGUUGGCUAAUCCUGGUCGGACAUCAGGAGGUUAGUGCAAUGGCAUAAGCCAGCUUGACUGCGAGCGUGACGGCGCGAGCAGGUGCGAAAGCAGGUCAUAGUGAUCCGGUGGUUCUGAAUGGAAGGGCCAUCGCUCAACGGAUAAAAGGUACUCCGGGGAUAACAGGCUGAUACCGCCCAAGAGUUCAUAUCGACGGCGGUGUUUGGCACCUCGAUGUCGGCUCAUCACAUCCUGGGGCUGAAGUAGGUCCCAAGGGUAUGGCUGUUCGCCAUUUAAAGUGGUACGCGAGCUGGGUUUAGAACGUCGUGAGACAGUUCGGUCCCUAUCUGCCGUGGGCGCUGGAAGAUUGAGGGGGGCUGCUCCUAGUACGAGAGGACCGGAGUGGACGCAUCACUGGUGUUCGGGUUGUCAUGCCAAUGGCACUGCCCGGUAGCUACAUGCGGAAGAGAUAAGUGCUGAAAGCAUCUAAGCACGAAACUUGCCCCGAGAUGAAUCUUCCCUGAGCCUUUAAGGCUCCUGAAGGAACGUUGAAGACGACGACGUUGAUAGGCCGGGUGUGUAAGCGCAGCGAUGCGUUGAGCUAACCGGUACUAAUGAACCGUGAGGCUUAACCUUACAACGCCGAA
RNAcentral lists this ribosomal RNA (1019 nucleotides) under Salmonella enterica. RNAcentral's name for it is "partial 23S ribosomal RNA". It matches the Rfam family "Bacterial large subunit ribosomal RNA", at positions 1923 to 2925 of the family's 2925-position model. The record is from RNAcentral. Lineage: Bacteria; Pseudomonadati; Pseudomonadota; Gammaproteobacteria; Enterobacterales; Enterobacteriaceae.